Molecule: ribosomal RNA, 253 nt
Filed under: uncultured bacterium
Lineage: Bacteria
Description: partial 16S ribosomal RNA
Rfam family: Bacterial small subunit ribosomal RNA
Source: RNAcentral
UACGUAGGGGGCAAGCGUUGUCCGGAUUUAUUGGGCGUAAAGAGCGUGUAGGCGGCCUUACAGGUCAGCUGUGAAAACUCGAGGCUCAACCUCGAGACGUCGGUUGAAACCGUAUGGCUAGAGUCCGGAAGAGGAGAGUGGAAUUCCCGGUGUAGCGGUGAAAUGCGCAGAUAUCAGGAGGAACACCGGUGGCGAAGGCGGAUCUCUGGGCCGUAACUGACGCUGAGGAGCGAAAGCAUGGGGAGCGAACAGG